GUGAAGCGGCAAAAGCUCAAAUUUGAAAUCUGGCGUCUUCGACGUCCGAGUUGUAAUUUGAAGAAGGCGACUUUGUAGCUGGUCCUUGUCUAUGUUCCUUGGAACAGGACGUCAUAGAGGGUGAGAAUCCCGUGUGGCGAGGAUCCCAGUUAUUUGUAAAGUGCUUUCGACGAGUCGAGUUGUUUGGGAAUGCAGCUCUAAGUGGGUGGUAAAUUCCAUCUAAAGCUAAAUAUUGGCGAGAGACCGAUAGCGAACAAGUACAGUGAUGGAAAGAUGAAAAGAACUUUGAAAAGAGAGUGAAAAAGUACGUGAAAUUGUUGAAAGGGAAGGGCAUUUGAUCAGACAUGGCGUUUGCUUCGGCUUUCGCUGGGCCAGCAUCAGUUUUAGCGGUUGGAUAAAUCCUCGGGAAUGUGGCUCUGCUUCGGUAGAGUGUUAUAGCCCGUGGGAAUACAGCCAGCUGGGACUGAGGAUUGCGACUUUUGUCAAGGAUGCUGGCGUAAUGGUUAAAUGCCGC
RNAcentral lists this ribosomal RNA (514 nucleotides) under Kluyveromyces marxianus. RNAcentral describes it as "eukaryotic LSU rRNA". It matches the Rfam family "Eukaryotic large subunit ribosomal RNA", at positions 93 to 648 of the family's 3401-position model. The record is from RNAcentral. Lineage: Eukaryota; Fungi; Ascomycota; Saccharomycetes; Saccharomycetales; Saccharomycetaceae.